RNAcentral lists this unclassified non-coding RNA (998 nucleotides) under Hevea brasiliensis (rubber tree). The record is from RNAcentral. Lineage: Eukaryota; Viridiplantae; Streptophyta; Magnoliopsida; Malpighiales; Euphorbiaceae.
UUCUUGAUUCUUGAGAAAAUUUCCCUGUUUCGAGAGCGGACAAUAAACAUACCAGCGCAUAUUAGCGCCCAGCCUCAUCAUACCAUUUCUGGGUUUUUGUCCUCUUUGGUCCCUUCGAUCGUUCUUUGGUCCAAAAUCAAGAAAUGCCAGUGUUUUUGUUUUAAUAUUUGAUACCGAUUCGUACUGCUGAUUAUUCAGUUUCAGUAACUUGAACCUUUUCUUGCUGAUUUUCUGCAAACUUUGAACACUUUUGUUGCUUUCUAGUAAAGACCAGCAGGUUCAUGCGCUAAAAGGCUCUAUAAACCCAGGAAUCUUACUGAUUUCCAUCGGUUUCAUUGGGUUUUUAGAGUUCUUCCAAAGUCUCGUAAGUGUCAUUCAACACCUUCCAAAAUUUCUCUGCUCUUUUCCCUUGUCUAGAUCGCUUUUGCUGAAUUGUAAAUUUGUCUGUUGACAAAAUUUCAGCUCCUUUCUCUAUAGAGUCACAGUACCAAAUUGCACAGAAACCACAGUCGUAAUAGCACACUUCGCCUCCGCCAUCCAUCACCAUCCAUUUGUCAAGCGAAGCUUUUGUACCUAUCUUCUGGGUUUUUCUAUAAACUCCUCCCUCCUGGUUCUUCAUUCCUCACAUCUACUGCAGAGUUCUCAUAAGCUCUGUUUUGCUUACUGUUUUCUUGAAAAUAAUCUGUUCUUCCAGCUCUGCUUGCCUAUCUUUUCCUGCGAGAAAUGGCUAGGUUCUGGCAUGUGUUCACCGUGAGGAACUUGUUGGUGGUGUCUCUAGCCAUCAAUGCAAGCUUCAUUUUGAGGCUGGGAUACGAGACCAUUGACAUAAAGAGAGAGCAACUGCUGACGGGUAAACGUGCCCAAGGAGAGGCACUGCCUACUCAGAGGGCACAUCUGCCUGUGUCUACUACCUCGUCACCUUCCUCGACUCCUUUCCCUGGCGGCGAUAGAGACAGAGUGAUCAAUCUCGACCACGGUGACCCGACCAUGUACGAGAG